This is a long non-coding RNA of Bombus huntii, 2744 nucleotides long. RefSeq lists it as uncharacterized. Lineage: Eukaryota; Metazoa; Arthropoda; Insecta; Hymenoptera; Apidae. The record is from RefSeq and is a predicted model, not a curated record. The transcript has 3 exons.
AGCAAAAUUAUCGAAUUAAUUAUACACUUGUUCACUUUACCAUUACUACACUUUAUUCUUACAUUUUAUUGCACAGUUUUUAUUAGGAAUUGUUCUAAAGAUCACUUAAUAUUAAAUGUUUAUGCUUGAUAAACUUAUAUACUAAAUAUUUAUAGCUGCAUCGAUUUACUGUUAAACAUGACGUACACCGUAAUACUUUCGCAUUAAUUAAAGACGAUCAACAUAUUCGCUUUGUUAUUGCUACACUCUCAAAUAUGCAAACUAAAGUGUUUACAUUAACGUAGCGUCCCGGACGAUGUUAAUACAAAGCAACGCAUUCUUCGUCGCGAUGUACCGAUGUAAUCACGAUUGUAAACAAUAGCACGGUGCAAGUUCAAGAGAAGAUAUUAGCAUCGUUCGAAUUCCCUUACAAGAAAAAAGAACCUACGAAUAAAAUAACCUGCAAUCUAUCAUCCAUGGAUCGACAUCGAUCUGUCAAUUGGCAGGAAGAGGCUGCAAAGAACGGGAUCAAGAAGCAUGUAGGACAAAAACAUGGGUACUACGAGCGGUACUCGUUUACGGAAUAGUACUAGGAAUGGGCGUGAUGGGGACAGGGACAGGCUCUGCUCUUAAGUUAGGUUAGGUUACCAGACAUGACAUCACGCACGCAACAUCGAGCAACCAGAGAAAACACGCACGGUGAAGAAAGAGACAGAAAUAACAAGUAUAUGUUGAUUUGGAAAAUUUCGUCUGUGAUCAGAUGAACCUCACACUGAGACGAGACGAGAGACUCAAAAGCCGAGUGAAACGAGCUUAAGGAGUCGACGGUCGGUCAAUCGUCAGUCGGUAAGCAACUGAGAGAGAAGGAGGAUGCUGGGAGAAAAGAGUACCGGUCUGUUCAAAGCAUCCAACACAGCGGAUAGUAACUGCUUAAAGGCCACUGGCCGACCCGACGGAUGAUUUAUACGACCCGUUAUGUCGUGCCCAUGUCUCACUUUUCCUUUUGUCCUGCUCCACAGACUUUCCAAAUUGCUUCUCCCAUUCAGUUUCUUCCUACUCGAGCAGACACUGGCAUACCAGUGCACGCCACCGAUGUGCAUUGUGCAUUCCACAGACUCUUUAGGGGAAAGACAUUUUAAUGUAGAUCAUCUUACACGCACGCGUUGCGCCUUAACGAACUUUCGAUCCGAAGCGCCGCGUGCCGGUAAAAUUCUAGCGAGGGAAAGCGGAACUUCCUUCGGUCUUGUUUAAGCGAAAUUUAAAUAGUUGUACUUCGAAUAAAAUUUCGAAUAUUAUUUCAAUUAAAAUCGUAGGAAAAGUGGAACUUCGUUCGAUCUUCUCUAUAUCAAAAUUUAAAUACUUCUCUCUCGAAUAAAAUUUCGAACGCUGUUGCAAUUAAAAUUCCACUUUCGUGACUACUUUUCAAAUCAACAUAUACAUAAAAUACAAUAUUUUAUUUAAAACUGAAGAUCUACAUUUGAAUGAAGUUAUGGUAGAAAUUUGUAUUCCAAAAUAAUGUAAAUUACUUUCUGUAGAAUGAAAUGGAAAUAUGUUGACUCUGUGGUGAGGUUGUGAAGUAAUAAAAAAUAAAAAUCGGAAUCUAUAAGCUAGAAUUAUAAGGCUCACCCUACUUGGAGCUUAUUAAGACAGUUAAGCAUCAUGUGUUCCUUGAGAGUGAAAUUAUGACAAUGUUUAUACCGUCUGGGUUACUUAAGAACCCCACAGUAGUAGUUAAGGGAUAAUCUUAGUUAUAUUAACUUUGUCGUAUAAAGUAUCAAAAGUACUCUGUACAUAUACUGUCAAAUACAUGAUUCAAAAUACUAUAAAAUACAUCUACUAUUAAUCCUUUUUAUAUUUCGAAAAUGUAAAAUUAAAAUAAAUUGUUUAACAGUAUUUCGGAAAUUAUACGUAAUUACUAACUAAAUUUUAACAAUUUCCAAAGGAAUAACAGAAUAUGUAAAAAAUAUAAAAAGGAAAAGAAAUAUUCCAAAUGCGUCAAAAUUAAAAAAAUCCUGCAUGAUAGCAGUUUUAAAACCGAUAACAGGCAUAUAAAAAACGAAUAUUCAUCGUGCGAUAAAAAAAAAAUAAAUUUUCUCCAGCUACAACACGUCCAUAAAUCGCAUCUUGUGUUACGUUCCACUUUUCAGCACGGGAAAACAUUUCUCGCUUUACGAUGAUCGCUGUUUACUUCUCGGAACCUGGUGAAUUUUCCGUAUAUACGUUUCUAUGGAGAUAAGAAAAUUCACGAACUGAUAAAACUUCUCUUCAAGAGGGAGGAGGCGGGCAUUUGAAAUGCAUGAGAAAGCGUAGAAUAGUACAAUGAAGAAGGAAAAAAGAUUAUUUUAAAAGUUUUACCACUAGCCGCCUUUAACGAUCUCCACUUUUUUUAUUUUUCCAUCAUCUUCCUCUCUUAUGUUUUCGAUUAUCGAGAACGCGUGGGCGCAUCGACACGUCACGGAUCGACGACAUCAAACUUUCUUUCAACCAUCUGCACGCCGAUGACGUAAGACAAAUGAUCAUGAACCGUUGCAAGGAAAAUGAUCAGCAAAAGUGCAUCAGACAUUCAUCCGCUGGUGCAGUCGAAAUUAGUCAUGGACUGUCAUUUCGAAAUAACUGAUGGAUCUAUCCAACGCCGAGUCUGGCCUAUUUUGAACCAAUAUAUUUAUGAUAACAUCGUUCGAUCGUGAAUGCCUUUUUAAAAUUUGCCUGAACGUACUCUUGCAAUUUCUAUCUGAGAAGAGGGCAAAAAGAAUUCGAAAACGGAU